GAUGAACGCUGGCGGCGUGCCUAAUACAUGCAAGUCGAGCGAACAGACUAGGAGCUUUCUCCUCUGACGUUAGCGGCGGACGGGUGAGUAACAUGUGGAUAACCUACCUAUAAGACUGGGAUAACUUCGGGAAACCGGAGCUAAUACCGGAUAAUAUAUUGAACCGCAUGGUUCAAUAGUGAAUGACGGUUUUGCUGUCACUUAUAGAUUGAUCCGCGCCGCAUUAGCUAGUUGGUAAGGUAACGGCUUACCAAGGCAACGACGCGUAGCCGACCUGAGAGGGCGAUCGCCGACCUUAGAGCUUGGAAGCGGGCUAGUGCUCAUCGGGAGGCAGCAGUAGGGGAUGAUGCGCAAUUGGAGAAACAAUGACGGAGCAACGAAGCGCGAGUGGAGAAGGAGUUAGGGACGGAAAACACGCUUAAUAGGGAACAACAAAUGUGUAAGGAAAUACAGACGUCGUGACGGUACCUGAACACGAAGCACCGGCUAAAUACGUG
This 497-nucleotide ribosomal RNA is filed under the name uncultured bacterium. Its description in RNAcentral is "partial 16S ribosomal RNA". It matches the Rfam family "Bacterial small subunit ribosomal RNA", at positions 28 to 507 of the family's 1533-position model. The record is from RNAcentral.